Malus domestica (apple) is the source of this 918-nucleotide RNA transcript. RefSeq lists it as uncharacterized. NCBI's taxonomy places the organism in Eukaryota, Viridiplantae, Streptophyta, Magnoliopsida, Rosales, Rosaceae. The record is from RefSeq and is a predicted model, not a curated record.
CCAUACCAAUCAAGUAAUGCAGUUUAUCUUGGUAUGUCUUUUCUCUACAACAAUAAUUUGGGAUUUUUGUUUAAAUUAUCACUUAUUCAUUUUUUAUUUGGCAUUGAAUUGUUGUUAAUUUGAAUGGCAGGUGGGUAUGACAUGGAGGAAAAAGCUUCAAGAGCUUAUGAUCAUGCUGCACUUAAUACUGGGAUUCUUCGACUCAUAAACUUUAUGGUAGGGUUCUAACAAUUGGAAUUUUAUGAGUUUGGGCUUUUUAGGAGCAGAAGUUUCAUUCUUUUGGUCUUUUUGCUGUUGGAUAAUUACACUAUACAACUUGAGUAGAUGAAGAAUAUGAGCAUGAAUACGUUGGGCAUCUGCGAAGUUUGGACCGAUCCCGAAGAGCUCUCUGCAUUGUUGAGCCUACAUGUGUCUAUCCUUUCCAAGAUUUAGUUGAACAUGGGAAAUCACCAGCUGUUGCUCCCAGAAAAGCUGAUGUGAAGUGAGCUUCUGUUUUUAUUUUUCGUUUUGCUGUGAAUUUUCUUUGAUUUAUGUGAUUUGAUCGGUGACCUUCAUUAUGAAUUUAUGUUUGAUUUUUUGAAUUUGAUACGUUGAAGAGCAAAGCUCAUGAAUCUCCUACUUUAAUUGUUUUUUUCAACACCUGUUCAUCCUAUUAAAUUCUAUGUUCAGUUUAGUCCUGUUAGAAUAUGUAAUAUUUCUUUUGUACAAAAUAGAUUAACUUUGGUUGGUGGGGCAUUUGAAAUGCUUAUCGGUUAUUUACCAAAGGUGGUUUAAAGGAACUACUUAAACUUCUUGGGAUGCCUGUUUUAAAAGUAAAAGGAGAGGUUGAAGCACACUGCCCAGUUAAAUGGGAACGGUCAUGUAGAUGCUUGAAUUACAUUGGACAGUGAUGCGUUGCUCUUUGAGUUUAAAUGUGUA